UCACCAAAUCGUCUGUAGGAUGGACAAAUAGGGAAUAUGCUGCCCCUCCUAUCUGGGCACAGGAACCUGGAAUUACCAAACAGGAUGCGGAAAUGCAAGUAAUGUGGGGAAAAACAAAUGAGACGAGGACCGGUGAUGUACCAGCAAAACAGCUCGCCAGCCAGAGUGAUGACAGACUAGGAAAAAACAAAAAUCACAAGACCAUCAGGGGGCGCUAUAAGACAAUUCGGUCUUCUGGAGCAGCUGGUCGUCGGUAAAGUCACAAAACGGUGCAGAAUGCAGGAGAAGAGAUGUAGAGAGAUCAAACAUAGCAAGCAACAAAAACAAGAAAGCCCUGUUCUGUUUCAGUAUAACAGCGAUGGAUAAGCGACUUAUACACAUGAAUAGGCGUCUCUCUUCACACAGAUGUCAAGACCUGGAAACCACAGCCAUGAACUUAGGACAAUACACUUGAUAAAUGAUCUAGAGCUUAUAUUUGUUCUUAAAUACAAGAAAACAUAGAUACAGACACCUAGAAGCACUAU
This is a long non-coding RNA of Hyla sarda, 524 nucleotides long. RefSeq lists it as uncharacterized. NCBI's taxonomy places the organism in Eukaryota, Metazoa, Chordata, Amphibia, Anura, Hylidae. The transcript has 4 exons. The record is from RefSeq and is a predicted model, not a curated record.